AUGGGGUACCUGCAGGAGGCCAGGGAGAAUCACGUGAAGAAGAAGGUCGAGGAAGCUUUGCGCAGCAAAAUGAAACAAAAGGCCCUCAAGGAAUGUGAUGUGCUGUGUUCAAAAUAUGCCGAAUGUGCUCGAGGAAGAACUUUCUCUGUGGUUUGGACAUGCCGCAAGCAAGCCAAAGAGUUGAAUAACUGUCUUCAUCAAUUCACCAAUGAUGCAAUACUGGAAGAUAUGAAGAAGGCUUACAUGGAUGGGCAAGAGAGCAAGGAGAAGAACAAAUAA
RNAcentral lists this ribosomal RNA (279 nucleotides) under Triticum aestivum (bread wheat). Its description in RNAcentral is "partial small subunit ribosomal RNA". Lineage: Eukaryota; Viridiplantae; Streptophyta; Magnoliopsida; Poales; Poaceae. The record is from RNAcentral.